UACGUAGGGUGCGAGCGUUAAUCGGAAUUACUGGGCGUAAAGCGUGCGCAGGCGGUGAUGUAAGACAGGUGUGAAAUCCCCGGGCUUAACCUGGGAACUGCAUUUGUGACUGCAUUGCUGGAGUGCGGCAGAGGGGGAUGGAAUUCCGCGUGUAGCAGUGAAAUGCGUAGAUAUGCGGAGGAGCACCGAUGGCGAAGGCAAUCCCCUGGGCCUGCACUGACGCUCAUGCACGAAAGCGUGGGGAGCAAACAGG
This 253-nucleotide ribosomal RNA is filed under the name uncultured bacterium. RNAcentral's name for it is "partial 16S ribosomal RNA". It matches the Rfam family "Bacterial small subunit ribosomal RNA", at positions 524 to 776 of the family's 1533-position model. The record is from RNAcentral.